This is a long non-coding RNA of Ictalurus punctatus (channel catfish), 576 nucleotides long. Lineage: Eukaryota; Metazoa; Chordata; Actinopteri; Siluriformes; Ictaluridae. The record is from Ensembl.
GCAUAUUAUGAAGAGUCCUGGGAUAGUCUGAUCUAAGUAUGAGUCCAGCAGCAGUUCUUAGGUACAAAUGUACAAAGGUGAGAUUAUCCACUGAGAUUACCCUGAGGUUUAGCUCUAAACUGUUUUUUGGUUCUUUUUUUUUGUUUUUGAGUUUUUCUUUCAUCGUUUCCAUUAUUUUAUUGCAACGAUAAGAACCUGUGCAGUAAAGCUCUGCUGAGUGGAGUCAAGGCCCUGAGCAAAGCCGAUCUACAGGAGCAGGCGGAAGUCAACCCUGAGCACUUUCAUCAACACUAUAGCCAGACUUCUGCAUGUCCACAAGCGGUACCCGUUAAACAACAUCAGGAAGAGAAGCCACAAAGGUCAUGCGAAGAGGUGCAGGCGAGCAGGAAGAAGGAGACUGAGCGAGAGCUGAGCGAGUGCGUGUCCGUGCUGGAGAGCAGCCUGCAGAGCGCUCUGUCCGCCAUCCUGGAGGAAGAGAUGAAGGCAGCGUUUGGAGAGCUGUGGCUAGAGUUCGCUCUUGACAAUUCCCACCUACUUGAUAACGUUCUAUCAUGUGAGAGCUACCAACCAGAGAUG